CUUUGUUACUCAGGAAGGAAAACUGCGGUUCAUUGUUUUCUGAAUUGAGCGUGGUGGAGAUCAAGAAGGCGUCCGCGGCUCCGAGAGAGUGUGUGUCUACCGUGGUCUGCUACCUUAAGUGGUUCAUUGUUUUCUGAAUUGAGCGUGGUGGAGAUCAAGAAGGCGUCCGCGGCUCCGAGAGAGUGUGUGUCUACCGUGGUCUGCUACCAUUGAUGUCGA
This is a long non-coding RNA of Dreissena polymorpha, 219 nucleotides long. RefSeq lists it as uncharacterized. The record is from RefSeq and is a predicted model, not a curated record. NCBI's taxonomy places the organism in Eukaryota, Metazoa, Mollusca, Bivalvia, Myida, Dreissenidae. The transcript is spliced from 3 exons.